RNAcentral lists this long non-coding RNA (955 nucleotides) under Anas platyrhynchos platyrhynchos (common mallard). RNAcentral describes it as "lncRNA (ENSAPLG00000028834.1)". Lineage: Eukaryota; Metazoa; Chordata; Aves; Anseriformes; Anatidae. The record is from RNAcentral.
ACGCAGCUGUGUUCUUUCAAGAUGGCAAACCAAGUUUGCUCAUGUCUUGAUACUUAACUGCUUGUAAACAAGUAAUUACCUGAAUGUAAGGAAAACAUUCUCCUUCAGUCGGUAGUUUGGCACUGAACCAUCGUUUGUUUACAUCAAGUCUUUAUAUUUGCCUAACACUUUUAUUUCAUUUAAACACAAAAUUAACAUCACCCUUCCAAAAUGCAGAAGAAUAACAAGUGGGAGGCAUUACUAGCUGUUGAUAACAGUCUAUGAAGAUCUGCACUUUCAUCUGCUUAUUCACCACUUACAUUGGCACAAUACUGAGCUGUUUGAGAAGCUAUUUGUCAGCUGUCAUGAAGAAGAAUGCAAUGCAACAGGUAGGUAUCGCCCAUAAGAUCUACUGUUUUGCAGUUCAGCCUUGCCUGAGACUGGCUGUGCCUCGUGGUGUGCAGUCCCUUGCUCCUUUCCUAAACUGAGUCACUGUAUCCUUAAUCACAAAUCUACCCUGAAAUGUUCAGCUGGACCUGGCUGUCUUGGUCUGGAGCUAUGCACUCUGCUCCUGACCGAGGGAGUCCAGUGCAGAACUGGCUGGUGCUGGUGUGGCAGGGCCUCCUUGUGCUUGGUGUUGCAUCUCACCUGCAGGUCAGGGAGUAAGCAUGGCUGCAACAGACAAAAUUGCUGUCAUGCCCUCGCCCUCCACAUUGUGAGCUAGCUAUUGGAGGGAAGCUAAUGAAGGCCAAAAAAUGGGAGAUAUUCCCACUGGCUUUCAAGAGUUAGGGCAUACAUUUCACUUGUGCCUAGUAGGAAAUCUGCCCUUAAACUGUUAAUUGCAGUCAGGUCUGAAAGUCUGCCCAGUUCAUGCAUUACUGCACAGCCUACCAAAUAACUGGGUCAGGGUACUCAAACUGCUGUUGUAGAAACAUUAUCAACAGAAUGAUGCCAAUGAGAGCAUUUGCCCAUGAUG